GGCAUUGAUGGCCGAAGCCCCGGCGGCCGCGGCCUGUUGCGCCGCCGACGUUGCGUGAUGACGUGCUAGCGCGCGCUUAGGCCGCGUUCAGGCCGC
Molecule: transfer RNA, 96 nt
Filed under: Paraburkholderia gardini
Lineage: Bacteria; Pseudomonadati; Pseudomonadota; Betaproteobacteria; Burkholderiales; Burkholderiaceae
Description: Paraburkholderia sp. LMG 32171 tRNA-Asn
Source: RNAcentral